UACGUAGGUGGCAAGCGUUGUCCGGAAUUAUUGGGCGUAAAGCGCGCGCAGGCGGUCCUUUAAGUCUGAUGUGAAAGCCCACGGCUCAACCGUGGAGGGUCAUUGGAAACUGGGGGACUUGAGUGCAGGAGAGAAGAGUGGAAUUCCACGUGUAGCGGUGAAAUGCGUAGAUAUUGGGAGGAACACCAGUGGCGAAGGCGGCUACCUGGACCGGAACUGACGCUGAUGCGCGAAAGCGUGGGUAGCAAACAGG
This 253-nucleotide ribosomal RNA is filed under the name uncultured bacterium. RNAcentral describes it as "partial 16S ribosomal RNA". It matches the Rfam family "Bacterial small subunit ribosomal RNA", at positions 524 to 776 of the family's 1533-position model. The record is from RNAcentral.